UAGCCGUAAUGCUGACCUCAUUCAAC
RNAcentral lists this non-coding RNA (26 nucleotides) under Homo sapiens (human). The record is from RNAcentral. Lineage: Eukaryota; Metazoa; Chordata; Mammalia; Primates; Hominidae.